Long non-coding RNA from Oreochromis aureus, 490 nucleotides. RefSeq lists it as uncharacterized. The record is from RefSeq and is a predicted model, not a curated record. Lineage: Eukaryota; Metazoa; Chordata; Actinopteri; Cichliformes; Cichlidae. The transcript is spliced from 2 exons.
AAGCAACGCAAUGCACCAGGUCCAUUUGGGAAACCCGACCUUCUGUUUACCUCACCACCUCCUGGAUAUGGCAAUGUGCUGCACAUAGUUGACCCAGACCUUUUAGACUACGCCAAGCAAUUAAUCUGUGAGGUGGAAGAGCCUUCACUGGUAGCAAACCAGGAAUUCAGAGACAUGUGCCAGAACAUUUUAGAAAACAGCCAAUUUCCCUGCACACCUGAUGGUUGCCUUGCUGCAUACCUCAUGCUAGUCCAAGAGCUGACAACUGCCAUGAACAGAAAUGCAGUUCCUACACCUUCUACGUUUGCAGAGGCAAAUGACAUAUACAUCUUUCUGAAGAGACAGAGGAUGGAAGGUGCACCAGUAAACAUUUCCAAUGACCAAUAAAAUCAUACAACAUUGUUUGUUAACAUUUAUUUAUCCUUGUUUACAAUCAACAGGUAAUUUGAAAACUGUCUGACCAACAAAAUGUACAAUAAAAUGUUGAAAA